RNAcentral lists this ribosomal RNA (253 nucleotides) under uncultured bacterium. RNAcentral's name for it is "partial 16S ribosomal RNA". It matches the Rfam family "Bacterial small subunit ribosomal RNA", at positions 524 to 776 of the family's 1533-position model. The record is from RNAcentral.
UACGGGGGGGGCAAGCGUUGUUCGGAAUUACUGGGCGUAAAGGGCUCGUAGGUGGCCAACUAAGUCAGACGUGAAAUCCCUCGGCUUAACCGGGGAACUGCGUCUGAUACUGGAUGGCUUGAGUUCGGGAGAGGGAUGCGGAAUUCCUGGUGUAGCGGUGAAAUGCGUAGAUAUCAGGAGGAACACCGGUGGCGAAGGCGGCUACCUGGACAGAAACUGACGCUGAGGCGCGAAAGCUAGGGGAGCAAACAGG